This 483-nucleotide ribosomal RNA is filed under the name uncultured beta proteobacterium. RNAcentral describes it as "bacterial SSU rRNA". It matches the Rfam family "Bacterial small subunit ribosomal RNA", at positions 46 to 526 of the family's 1533-position model. The record is from RNAcentral. Lineage: Bacteria; Pseudomonadati; Pseudomonadota; Betaproteobacteria.
GCCUAACACAUGCAAGUCGAACGGCAGCACGGGGGCAACCCUGGUGGCGAGUGGCGAACGGGUGUAAAGCAUCGGAACGUGCCCAGUAGUGGGGGAUAGCCCGGCGAAAGCCGGAUUAAUACCGCAUACGACCUACGGGUGAAAGCGGGGGACCGAAAGGCCUCGCGCUAUCGGAGCGGCCGAUGUCGGAUUAGCUUGUUGGUGGGGUAAUGGCCUACCAAGGCGACGAUCCGUAGCUGGUCUGAGAGGACGACCAGCCACACUGGGACUGAGACACGGCCCAGACUCCUACGGGAGGCAGCAGUGGGGAAUUUUGGACAAUGGGGGCAACCCUGAUCCAGCCAUGCCGCGUGCGGGAAGAAGGCCUUCGGGUUGUAAACCGCUUUUGUCGGGGAAGAAAUCUUUCGGGCUAAUACCUCGGGAGCAUGACGGUACCCGAAGAAUAAGCACCGGCUAACUACGUGCCAGCAGCCGCGGUAAUAC